AGGGGUAUCGCCAAGCGGUAAGGCAACGGACUUUGACUCCGUCAUACGGUGGUUCGAAUCCACCUACCCCUGCCA
Molecule: transfer RNA, 75 nt
Filed under: Streptococcus vestibularis
Lineage: Bacteria; Bacillati; Bacillota; Bacilli; Lactobacillales; Streptococcaceae
Also listed under: 1 other name
Description: tRNA-Gln
Rfam family: tRNA
About the family: Transfer RNA (tRNA) molecules are approximately 80 nucleotides in length. Their secondary structure includes four short double-helical elements and three loops (D, anti-codon, and T loops).
Source: RNAcentral